Molecule: long non-coding RNA, 492 nt
Organism: Heterocephalus glaber (naked mole-rat)
Lineage: Eukaryota; Metazoa; Chordata; Mammalia; Rodentia; Bathyergidae
Source: Ensembl
CUACAGUAUAAUGGAGGUGGUGAAAAAAGGAUGAAGAUAUGCAAGACGUAAACAGCUCUGGGAGGCUGGCACUCAAACCUCUGGAGAGAAGGUCAAAAGGAAACCAAUCAGCCCUUGGCUGUACCUGUGGCAGUGACAGUGGCCCCUUCCCCACUCUGUGACAAGCACUGUGCCAGGAUAGAGAUGUGCCAAUGGGGGUGGAACAGAGGAGGCUGUGCAAAAACCCAGAGGAGCCGACUGUACAGGGAGUAGGAGCAGUCCCUGCCUGAGGGACCCCAACUGGGAGAGAACGCAGAGACAAGCACUGCUUGGAGGCUGGAACAUCCCUGGCAAGUGGAACUCUGUGGCUUCACCAAAACUCUGGCACUUAAAUGAGUCAGUGUGACCACUUCCUGUUCUUCAGAGUCUGUCUGUGAGUCUCUCCUUCCCCUCCACACACUUACCAGAUGCAUAACCAGGCACAGAAAGGCCAUGUAACUUCUCCAAGUCCAC